This 466-nucleotide ribosomal RNA is filed under the name uncultured bacterium. Its description in RNAcentral is "partial 16S ribosomal RNA". It matches the Rfam family "Bacterial small subunit ribosomal RNA", at positions 28 to 507 of the family's 1533-position model. The record is from RNAcentral.
GAUGAACGCUGGCGGCGUGCUUAACACAUGCAAGUCGAACGAUGAAGCCCAGCUUGCUGGGUGGAUUAGUGGCGAACGGGUGAGUAACACGUGAGUAACCUGCCCUUGACUCUGGGAUAAGCGCUGGAAACGGCGUCUAAUACCGGAUACGAGCUUCCACCGCAUGGUGAGUUGCUGGAAAGAAUUUCGGUCAAGGAUGGACUCGCGGCCUAUCAGGUAGUUGGUGAGGUAACGGCUCACCAAGCCGACGACGGGUAGCCGGCCUGAGAGGGUGACCGGCCACACUGGGACUGAGACACGGCCCAGACUCCUACGGGAGGCAGCAGUGGGGAAUACUGCACAAUGGGCGCAAGCCUGAUGCAGCAACGCCGCGUGAGGGACGAAGGCCUUCGGGUCGUAAACCUCUUUUAGCAGGGAAGAAGCGAAAGUGACGGUACCUGCAGAAAAAGCACCGGCUAACUACGUG